UGGGGAAUCUUCCGCAAUGGACGAAAGUCUGACGGAGCAACGCCGCGUGAGUGAAGAAGGUUUUCGGAUCGUAAAACUCUGUCUUUUGGGGCGAACGUGAGUAUGGUGAACAAUCAUAGUCAGUGACGGUACCAAAGGAGGAAGCCACGGCUAACUACGUGCCAGCAGCCGCGGUAAUACGUAGGUGGCAAGCGUUGUCCGGAAUUAUUGGGCGUAAAGAGCGCGUAGGCGGGAUAGUCAGUCUGUUGUAAAAGUGCGGGGCUCAACCCCGUGAUCGCAAUGGAAACAGCUAUUCUUGAGUGCAGGAGAGGAAAGUGGAAUUCCCAGUGUAGCGGUGAAAUGCGUAGAUAUUGGGAGGAACACCAGUGGCGAAGGCGACUUUCUGGACUGUGUCUGACGCUGAGGCGCGAAAGCCAGGGGAGCGAACGGGAUUAGAUACCCCGGUAGUCCUGGCCGUAAACGAUGGGUACUAGGUGUGGGAGGUAUCGACCCCUUCCGUGCCGGAGUUAACGCAAUAAGUACCCCGCCUGGGGAGUACGGUCGCAAGACUGAAACUCAAAGGAAUUGACGGGGUCAUAGCUGUUUCCUG
Molecule: ribosomal RNA, 589 nt
Filed under: uncultured bacterium
Lineage: Bacteria
Description: partial 16S ribosomal RNA
Rfam family: Bacterial small subunit ribosomal RNA
Source: RNAcentral